This is a long non-coding RNA of Fukomys damarensis (Damara mole-rat), 1435 nucleotides long. RefSeq lists it as uncharacterized. Lineage: Eukaryota; Metazoa; Chordata; Mammalia; Rodentia; Bathyergidae. The record is from RefSeq and is a predicted model, not a curated record. The transcript has 5 exons.
GAGAGCUCAGGGGUGGCAGACUAAGCCCAGGCCGGGUCUGCUCUGAACAGCCCCUUCCUGUCCUUGAGGAAGCAUUGCAAACCCAGGAUGGGAUGGUUACCUAGCUGGGUUGCUAAGUGUAAAAGAGAAUUUGGAAAGUGACUAGCACAGAGUCCCAAAUGCACAGCUUCAAAGGAACAAAUGUACCACCAGAAUGGCACCAGAACUCACCGUUUUCCAUAGGAAUGGCUCCUGGAUUCCAGUGCCUCUGUGUUCACAUCAUCAAUGGCAACUUUAGAGGUGGCAACAGCUGAAGAAGGAAUUUUGUGGCUGCUGGAGGAAGUGGCAGCAACCUCAGACAGCAAUGGGUGAUUAAUACAAUUAAGAAGAAAAGCAAGGGUGAUUGAAGCAGAAGACAAGAAUAUUUGUGAAGAUGAGAGGAUAUAAUACAGACUAGAUAUGCCUAUAUCUUCAAACAUUUAUCAUUUCUUUUUGACACAUAAUCUCAUUGCAGCCAUAAGAAAAUGUCAGAAGUCUCAGCUGAAGGACAAUCUGCACAAUUCCUGACCAGCACUCCUCAAAAAUGGCAAAGUUAUCAAGAAACUGUCAUAGCCAAGAGAAUCCUGUGGACACCUGAGGACUAAAUGUAAUGUGGUAUCCUGGAUGAAAUUCUAGAAUAGACAUUAGGCAAAAAUGAAGGAAAGCAGAAUGAAGUGUGGAUUUCGGUUAAUAACAAGGUAUCCUUAUUGGUGACAAAUGGAGCCAGGUGUCGUGACACAAGCCUGCAAUCCUAGUUCUUGGGAGGUUGAGGGAGGAGGAUCACAGUGAGUUCAAGGCCAGCUUGGGCUACAUAGUGAAUUCAAGGCCAGCCUGAACUGCAUAGCGAGACCUUCUCUCAACAAACAAAUAUUGGUGACAAAUGUAGCCUACUGUUAGAAGAUGUUAAUCAUUAAGGGAAUAAGUUGUGGUUGUGGAACUCUGUACUGUCUUCAUACUUUUUUCGUAAUUAUAAAGAUAUUCUAAAUUUUUGAAAGUUUAUUGUAAAAAGGAAAAUGGUCUUCUAGUCCAUAAAAAGGUACAUUUUUAGCUACAUUAGCACUGUUUGGAAAUUUGGCCAUUUACUGGGGAACGUAUAGAAAGGAGAGUACUCCAAUCUGAUUUUAGUAUUAUGAAAAUGUGCUUUGCUCAGUCAUGAGCCCAUAAAUAAACUAUUAUGGUGAUAAACAACCAAAUUUUAUGUACUAUUAACUUGAAUUCCAAACUGACAAAUGAUUGUUUUUUUUUUCAUGUUUGGAGGUUUUAGAACAUUCUUUUUGGUGUGAGUGACUCAUUCCUUAGUAAGAAUUAUUUACUUGCAUGUUGUUAUUAACACCCUUAGAAACCUGUUCUUCUCUAGAGCAACCUGUUUUGUUUUGGGCACAACAAAAUGUAGGAUUUUGUUAUGGCUUGUGUUUAG